This 230-nucleotide unclassified non-coding RNA is filed under the name Hevea brasiliensis (rubber tree). The record is from RNAcentral. Lineage: Eukaryota; Viridiplantae; Streptophyta; Magnoliopsida; Malpighiales; Euphorbiaceae.
CCAACAAUUUGGGGCUAGAGAGGCCCAGUCAAUGGCAUUCUUCAAAGGUGCAGUAAGAGAGUAAUUGUUCUCAGGAGAAGCAAAAAGAACACUAUCAGCGUUGAGAAUUUGUUGGCGAAAAGCUUCAACAACUGUUGGAUAGGUUCCAUUGACAAUAAGAUCAGUGUUCAGCAAUGGCAACUGGGAUAUGUCUAUGUGCUCAAUUUGUACACCAGUCACCGACUCCUUGC